Molecule: ribosomal RNA, 405 nt
Filed under: Triticum aestivum (bread wheat)
Lineage: Eukaryota; Viridiplantae; Streptophyta; Magnoliopsida; Poales; Poaceae
Description: partial small subunit ribosomal RNA
Source: RNAcentral
AUGAACACAUCGAGAUCUAGUAUACUGACACAACAAACUCCAGAAUAUGCAACCGAUGAUAGCGGCACCUUGAGGACUGGAUGGGAUGUCAAUGCAAGGAGGCACCAGCUACCCGCAGCGGAGGAGAUUUGGCCGGCGGCCAUCACCACUCAUGCAAAAGCAGCACGGCGAGGAGAUGUUCUGUUCGAGGGUUCAGAGAAGGAAAUGAUUACGUUUCGUGGGCACAAGAGGCUACGCGCGAGGGUGGUUGCCACCAUCCGCCAAAAUCUUGCGGCUCUCAUCAACCAGUUUUCAGUGGAAUAUUCUAAGGCAUCUGGCUAUCCCAGCCAUCUUCGCCAUCUAACCAAACGAGUGGUAUCCCUGAAAAAUCUGGCUAUCCCUGUCCCACUAAGGGAUAGCCAGUGA